This 421-nucleotide ribosomal RNA is filed under the name Allobates cf. tapajos ABGD cluster 59. Its description in RNAcentral is "partial large subunit ribosomal RNA". It matches the Rfam family "Bacterial large subunit ribosomal RNA", at positions 1834 to 2457 of the family's 2925-position model. The record is from RNAcentral. Lineage: Eukaryota; Metazoa; Chordata; Amphibia; Anura; Aromobatidae.
CCUGACUAACCAUAAGAGGUCAAGCCUGCCCAGUGACAUUGUUCAACGGCCGCGGUAUCCUAACCGUGCGAAGGUAGCGUAAUCACUUGUUCUUUAAAUGAGGACUAGUAUGAACGGCUUCACGAAAGCUAUACUGUCUCCUUUAUCCAAUCAGUAAAACUAAUCUCCCCGUGAAGAAGCGGGGAUCUGUCUAUAAGACGAGAAGACCCUAUGGAGCUUUAAACAUCUUAAAACACUUGAGUACAUCAUUAAACUUCCGCAAACUUCAUUAAGCCCCUCAUUCUGCUUUAAGUUUUAGGUUGGGGCGACCACGGAGAACAACCCACCCUCCAUGUAGAAAGAACCUUUCUUCUAAGCGAAAAGCUACAUCUUUAUGCAUCAAUACAUUGACCUAAAUUGACCCAUUUCUUGAUCAACGAAC